GUGAGAGAUGGGACGGGCAACAACAAUGAUGACAGCUAUGUCCUGACCAGGGUUACACUUGGGGUGGGCGCUCAGAAGUCGGUUAGAUUGGAGGUGAAGCUAGAAGAUGCCCUGGCCGCCAGGGAGAACCCAAUGAUCAAUGACAUCAGAAAAGAUGAGAAUUUCAGUCCCAGACCUGAGGACAGUGUCAUUGGUGUACCGGAUCAGCCUCCUGCUGAGCAGGAUGUCACCUGGUUGAAACCCUGGAGGAGCCACAGGGAGGCACCUGAUCAAGGUGAUUCUCCAAGUGCCUUGCAGAUUGCCAACAGAACCCCCAUGGUCAUGACGAUUAUAUCUCCUUCGCCUCCAGCAACCGUCGACAUUGGUGACCUGAGUGAUGUCCUGAACUUCACACCUGAGCUCCACUUUAUCCCAGCCCCCAUUGUCAUGGUGGAAGUCGACACCCCCCUUGAAUCUUUAUCCCCACCUGUCUAUUCAGAGGACACCCUAGAUGCCACAAUCGUGAGCAGUUUUGAACCUGUUGAUGUCCCCAUUGUGGAGGUCCCCAUCAUGAGCAGCCUUAAACCUGUUGCUGUCCCCAUCCUUGAACCUCUGGUUGUCCCCAUCGUGAGCAUUCUUGAACCUGUGGAAGUCCCCAAUGUGAAUGUCCACAUCGUGAGUAGUUUUGAAUCUGUGGAAGCCCCCAUCGUGGAUCUCCCCAUCAUGGAUGUCACCAUUGUGAACAGCCUUGAACCUCUGCAAGCCCCAAUUGUGGAUGCACCCAUCGUGAGCAGCCUUGAACCUGUUGAACAUGCAGAUGCCACUGUCAUGAAUGACCUUGAUAUCCUGAAUGCUCCAGUUGGCUUAGAGAACCUGGAUGCCCCAGUCAUCAACAGUCUUGACACACUGGUGCUGGACGCUCUUAUUGUAAACAGCCUUGAACCUGUGGACAUCCCUGUCAUCAAUGACCUUGACACUCCAGAUACCCCCAUCAUAAAUAUUCUUGACACCCUGGAGCUGGAUGCUCCCAUCAUAGAUGUCCCCAUUGUGGACAGCCUUGCACCUGUGGAAUUCCCCAUCAUGAAUGACAUUGACCUCCUGGAGAACCCUGCGGAGUUCAGCUCCAGCUUUAACCCUCAGCUUGAAGUAGAGGUUCAUGUGGAGGGUGAGGACCAGAACCAGGGGCUUUGUCUGUGUGUCCAACCUCAGCGUACCUAUGAGAUCAUUGGGGAGCCCAAUCCUGAUGAACCCUCUGGAAGUGGACCUGGCAACCCCAGGCUCUCAAACCAUAGCUGAACUGGUCCAUAACUCCACCACACAUUCUGACGAUGACACAACCACAGUCACCGAGCCAGCGGACCUGGAAAGCCCAGGCUAUGAUACUAUAGCUGAACUGGUCCAGGAUUCGAGUGCAACCACACUGCCUGACGAUGACCCUAUCACAACCACAGUCACAGAGCCAGGGGAUCAGAUAACCCCUGCGUAUGAAACCAUUGCUGAACUGGUCCAUAAAUUGAGCGCAACCACACUGCCUGACGAUGAGCCAAUAAGAACCACAGUCACAGAGCCAGGAGAAGGGCUUGACCUUACAAGCCCUCUCUCAGUGGCAGAGGAGGGUUUCUGUGACGGGGUGGAAUCCAAUGUACGCUAGAGUGAGAAAGAAGCUUAGUAAAAGUACCACCCCACCACCUGUGCUUCCAUCGGAGGACGAGGAACCGGAGGGAUUUUCACCUCCAUUACCAGAGAGAAGUGGAGAGAUGGAGGGAUGAUCAUUGUAGAAUAUCUCAUAAGACUUCAAAUGUGUGUUACGUCAUCAAUUAUAUUUAUAUAGACUCAACUGUGUCAUUUCUGGUGGAACAUGUCUCAGAUGAUGAAGAUAAGGGUUGUACCCAGUACAUAUCUUAUACGAUCUCAUAUGAGACGGGUAUCUCACUGUCCUAUCCUUCAUAUACACUAUUUCCAGUCCUUUCAUUAGCUUUGCAUUGAACUCCGUACAAUGCUAUGCUACAUAUUCCAUAAGGAAGGACCCUAAGCCCAGAGUAGAACUGGGUCACCUAACAUGUUCCAGAGUAGGCUUUAUGUUUGUAUUUACUAACACAUUACAGUGUGAAGUGGCAAUUACACAGUAAUAAAUCAUUGAGUUACAG
RNAcentral lists this long non-coding RNA (2126 nucleotides) under Salmo salar (Atlantic salmon). RNAcentral describes it as "lncRNA (ENSSSAG00000121838.1)". The record is from RNAcentral. Lineage: Eukaryota; Metazoa; Chordata; Actinopteri; Salmoniformes; Salmonidae.